RNAcentral lists this ribosomal RNA (253 nucleotides) under uncultured bacterium. RNAcentral describes it as "partial 16S ribosomal RNA". It matches the Rfam family "Bacterial small subunit ribosomal RNA", at positions 524 to 776 of the family's 1533-position model. The record is from RNAcentral.
UACGUAGGUGACCAGCGUUGUCCGGAUUUACUGGGCGUAAAGAGCGCGCAGGCGGUCGUUCAAGUCGAGUGUGAAAGCCCCCGGCUCAACUGGGGAGGGUCAUUCGAUACUGAUCGACUCGAAGGCAGGAGAGGGAAGCGGAAUUCCCGGUGUAGUGGUGAAAUGCGUAGAUAUCGGGAGGAACACCAGUGGCGAAGGCGGCUUCCUGGCCUGUUCUUGACGCUGAGGCGCGAAAGCUAGGGGAGCAAACAGG